AUACUAGUGAUACGAUACGCUACGAUCCUUUUCAGGAACUGUCGCGUGUCAAAAAACCCAAUGAAAAUGAUUAAUUUCAACAUUUUACAUAACUUACUUGAUGACCUGCAUUGCCAGGAUUUUAUGUUAAAUCCAAUUAGAAAACAAAAGAAAACAAUCUUAUAACAGCCCAACAACAAAUGUGCAUAAACCCCAAUCCUUUAAUCUUUUAACAACUAAUCCAGAUAGCAACCUGGCAACAAUAGUUCAUGACCGUUAUCUCCCGCCGGCACUCAAAAAUUUUGAAUUUUUUUUUUCUCCUUCUCUUGGCUCUGUUCAAUUGUCCUACCCGAUCUUUGCAAACUCAGCCAGUGCCCUCCCCUUGUCAAUAGAAGCAAUAUCUUUAUUGGCCUAUCCCCAUUGUUGUUUCCUCUCAUUUCCCCUACUAAUACAAAUCCUGUACCUAUCAAUUCCAACCCAUUUGCGCUCCUCAAUGGAGAAUAUUCAUUCUUGGAUCCUCUGUAUCUCUCUCCUCCUCUUGAUCUACUCUUCAACCUCUGAAGAAGACAGUAUCAAGCGCUCUCUCAUUGCCUUCCUCGAAAAACUCUCCCCUUCAAACCCCCGUAUUGCUCAAGAUCUUCGUUGGAAUUUUUCAACCAAUCCUUGUGUUGAUCGAUGGAGAGGAAUCGGUUGCAAUAAUCGAAACACUUCAGUACGAAGAAUAGUACUUGAAGAUUUAGAACUCGGAGGAUCAAUUGAUGCUAGUCUACUCUGCAAAGCUAAGUCUCUUGUAGUCCUUAGCCUUCAGAAUGAUAACCUUCAAGGGAAUCUGCCACCUGAAAUCUCCAAUUGCAGUCAACUUACGCAUAUUUUUCUCGAUAGAAAUCGACUUUCAGGAAAUUUACCCUCCUCUCUAUCUUCUUUCAAUAACCUGAAGAAGUUCGAUGUCUCUGAUAAUGAUUUUUCAGGCGAGGUUCCCAAAGGCCUAGGCAAGAUUUCAGGCUUAGUAUCCUUCCAGGUUCAGGACAACAAACUGAACGGUACAAUACCCGAGUUUGAUUUCAGUAAUCUUCAAGAAUUCAAUGUCUCCAAUAAUUUUUUCUCCGGUCCAAUCCCUAAAGGCGGUGAUCGCUUUGGCCUCAGUAGCUACUCCGGGAAUUUUGGCUUCUGUGGAGGACCAUUUGAUGCAAUUUGCUCUUCGAUUCCUGCUCCAUCCCCUCUUUCAGAAGAGAACUCGAAGAGUGAAGGCGAUAAGGCCAUUCUAUUCUCAGGUUAUAUCCUGCUAGGCCUUUUUCUCCUAGUAUUCAUCAUGUACAUUCUUGUUAAGAGAAAGAGGACCCAAAAGAAAAAAUCAGGAAAUGCAAAGGAAUCAAGUACUUCAACCGAACAAAAGGCUAGUAGAUCAGAGUACUCGAUCUCAUCAAAUGAAGGUAGUGCUGUUGCCACAACAGGCUCAAUGUCUUUGAUAGUAUUGAAGAAUCCAGCAGUGAAGGAGUUGAAGUUUGAGGAGCUACUGAAAGCUCCAGCUGAGUUAUUGGGAAGAGGGAGAUUCGGGACUUUGUAUAAGGUUAUGAUGAGUGAUGGGAAUUUGCUUGCAGUUAAGAGGAUCAAGGAUUGGACAAUAUCGGCACAGGAGUUUCAGAGGAGGAUGGAGAGGUUGGAUAGAGCAAAGCAUCCCAGAGUUCUUUCAGCGAUUGCGUUUUAUUGCUCGAAGCAGGAGAAGCUGGUGGUUUAUGAGUAUAAGCCUAAUGGGAGCCUGUUUAAGCUUCUCCAUGGUAACCAAGAGAACUGCACAUUUGAUUGGAACAGUAGGCUAAGCGUAGCUGCAGGCAUCGCAAAGGGCAUGUCAUUUAUGCACAGAGACCUACAAGAGGUCGGUAUAGGCCAUGGCAAUCUCAAAUCCUCCAACAUCCUAAUGGACACCAACAUGGAGCCCUGCAUCAGUGAAUAUGGUCUCCUUGCAAUCCCGAGGCAAACCAGCCUCAACAACGGUCGAAAAUCAAUUAAGCCCAUAAAUGACACAGCCCUCAAAGAUGAUAUUUUCAGCUUUGGUGUCAUCCUUCUUGAGUUACUUACCGGAAAAAUUGUUCAGAAUAAUGGUUUUGAUUUGGCUCAGUGGGUGCAUUCUGUGGUGAGGGAGGAAUGGACAGUUGAAGUUUUUGAUAAGGGACUGCUCUCUGAAGGAGUGCCUGAAGAUAGAAUGGUGAAGCUUCUUCAGAUUGCAUUGAAGUGCAUAUACAAAUCUGUCGAUGCUCGACCAACUAUGAGCCAAGUUGCCGAGAUGAUACAUUCAUUGAAGGAAGAAGAGGAUAGGUCUGUUGUGUCUGAAAUUGAUUCAAGAGAUACUUAAAAUUAGGGAGUCUAUUUUCAUAUUGUCAUGGAAUUUAUGUAUAUGUUCCGUUUGACUAUUAUUAUUUGCUAGUGUAUAUGUGUUGGUCACAUAUGAGGAGGUGGAAAAACAUUGUUUAUUUGUUACACUGAUGACAUAGGUGGUAUUAGUCCAAAU
Asparagus officinalis (garden asparagus) is the source of this 2485-nucleotide RNA transcript. It is a transcript of the gene named probable inactive receptor kinase At2g26730, with no coding region annotated. The transcript has 3 exons. The record is from RefSeq and is a predicted model, not a curated record. Lineage: Eukaryota; Viridiplantae; Streptophyta; Magnoliopsida; Asparagales; Asparagaceae.